CCCUGGGAUUAGCUCAGUUGGUUAGAGCGUGGCACUAAUAGUGUGUCAAGGUUGUGGGUUCAAACCCUGUUCAGGAA
This is a non-coding RNA of Lamprotornis superbus, 77 nucleotides long. The record is from the annotation of a GenBank genome assembly. Lineage: Eukaryota; Metazoa; Chordata; Aves; Passeriformes; Sturnidae.